This 443-nucleotide ribosomal RNA is filed under the name uncultured bacterium. RNAcentral's name for it is "partial 16S ribosomal RNA". It matches the Rfam family "Bacterial small subunit ribosomal RNA", at positions 338 to 795 of the family's 1533-position model. The record is from RNAcentral.
CCUACGGGAGGCAGCAGUGGGGAAUAUUGGGCAAUGGGCGCAAGCCUGACCCAGCAACGCCGCGUGAAGGAAGAAGGCUUUCGGGUUGUAAACUUCUUUUCUCAGGGACGAAGCAAGUGACGGUACCUGAGGAAUAAGCCACGGCUAACUACGUGCCAGCAGCCGCGGUAAUACGUAGGUGGCAAGCGUUAUCCGGAUUUACUGGGUGUAAAGGGCGUGUAGGCGGGGACGCAAGUCAGAUGUGAAAACCACGGGCUCAACCUGUGGCCUGCAUUUGAAACUGUGUUUCUUGAGAACUGGAGAGGCAGACGGAAUGCCUGGUGUAGCGGUGAAAUGCGUAGAUAUUAGGAGGAACACCAGUGGCGAAGGCGGUCUGCUGAACAGCAACUGACGCUGAGGCGCGAAAGCGUGGGGAGCAAACAGGAUUAGAUACCCGUGUAGUC